RNA transcript from Anguilla anguilla (European eel), 1984 nucleotides. RefSeq lists it as uncharacterized. The record is from RefSeq and is a predicted model, not a curated record. The transcript has 12 exons. Lineage: Eukaryota; Metazoa; Chordata; Actinopteri; Anguilliformes; Anguillidae.
GUUUGUUCUUUGAUGUUUGUACACAUUAAACCAAAACACAAACCGGAUAGAUCAUUUAUCUCCUGUUUCAAGUCAGCUCAUGUUUGACUUGCGUGGAUUACUCACAAACGUUAAUAAGCAACGAAACGGCAAGCCUACCCCCACGUGGCACAGUGGGAAUAGACCUACCUAGUAAAAUGCCGUUUGGGUAUGUUCACCUACGCACGCCCACUAUAACGCAUUUAGCCUAGUGAAUCAGAUUCGCUAGUAUGCGGUUGGUUUGAUGUCAGGAUAAACAUGUUUUCAACACAUGUACACAAAUGCCAAGUUACUCACACAUUCAAAGCAGUUCGCUGGAGUCAAGUUCUUUCAGUUCUGCGACGAGAAGAGAACGGUGUGAACAACGGAACUUUUUAAAGCGAAAUUGGUGGAGAUGCAUAUAUCCAUCUGGAAAGCUGAUCUCCGCCAUAUGAAAGAAUGCAACACGUGCUGCCAGCGUUUAUUCCACUGCCCACUGUGCCCAACCUUCAAACCAUCGAAGAAGGCAAAUAUUCAGAGGCAUGUGGGAGCCCAUGCAAAAAAUGCAGUGCAUUUCAAAGACAAAUACAUCUGCCGAUGCAGGUUGCCAUGCAGGACUGAGGCUCAUUAUCACUGCCCUUUAUGUGAGAAGACCCAUAUACUUCAAUAUUUCAAGAGACAUUACAAAGACUUCACAUUUAAUGUGUGUGUGUGGAUGAAACAAAUGGCAUAUUUGAAGUUUGAAGAAGUGGUCAUUAACAUUAGGCUAUUUACUUUUCAGGUGGGUAAUGGCUACUUUUGAGCUGAUAGAGAAAAUCGCUCAGUCAAAGGGGAAGAGCAUUUACAUUGUGGAUUUGUAUGUCACCCCAACUUGGCUACCUCCAAGCAACUGUGAUCCAGUGAUAAGCCUUCCUAGCGAUGCUCAGUGGAAGGAUGCACUUCUCUUCCCUCUGUGGACACCUGGGCACUUCCAGUUGUGUGGAUCUUGCUAAGAGUAUAAGCCCAGGGGACUGGUUGGAACAAACUGGCUUUGACUUGGAGGGGUUUCCAACUCAAGACUUUGGAUGUGACUGUGGAAUCUUCAUGUUGAUGUUUGAUGUGCCCCCUCUUUACGAAAAUGGUGGUGCCUCCUUCUAAUGGAGAACUUUCAACUGGACAGUGCUCAGAAGACACAGGGAAGAGGCUGCCGUAUCCAGACGUGCAGACCAUUGAAUGGGUGCAAUGCUGCAAAUGUAAAGGGUGGCGCCACACAGACUGUGCUGGUCUAUCCCAUCCUCAUUUGAGGGCUGAGACAUUCUGUUGUGGAUGUGAUGCUAGCAACACCUGCAAUAGAACAAUUGAAUUGCUGGACGUGCAUGGCGUCCAGGGUCUGUUAUCCACAGAUGAAAUAAAGGUAAUGCUAUUGCCCCUGGAACAAUGGAUUAAUAUUCUCUGACCCUGGUUACCUCUAUACAACCGUGUCAUGGACAUAGACCACCCUACCAAUUUCUGACUAUUUCUUUUUGCACUGUCAAGUCUGUAUAGUCUCUGUCCAAUGCAUGUCUUGUAUCCCCUAUACUGUAUGUAAUGUACAAUGAUUGAAGAAUGAACUGUUAAACUUGUAUUGGCAUGCCAAUUUUUGUUCGUCAGUCGUUCUGAUUGCUUCGUUUUGCUCAAAAAGUUCUACUUCGUACGAAGUAUACUGCCUACUUUACUGCAUGUAUGAGAGAGCUUUCUGGAUCUAGGGCUCUCUUACAAAGCGGCGCCAAGCGCAACGGAAGUGUCUUUGCUAGUUUCAGACCGACGCAGUUGUCAUUUUCCCGUCCAGGCGCCCACGUUGUUUAAAUAGCAAAUGUACUUGCGCCCAUGGGCGUGUUGGUCUUAAAAUGAGGUGUGGUCAGGCGCAUUGCGGAAAGCGAUUGCGGGAUUGACCAGCAAAAACCUGGUUAUAAGUCAAUGGCGCAGUAUUUUACUGUUAUUUUAAGGGCACAUUAUUAAGAUAGUAAUA